AGCUGAUGCAGCGACGCCGCGUGAGGGAUGGAGGCCUUCGGGUUGUGAACCUCUUUCGCCAGUGAAGCAGGCCUGUCCCUUUUGUGGGUGGGUUGACGGUAGCUGGAUAAGAAGCGCCGGCUAACUACGUGCCAGCAGCCGCGGUAAUACGUAGGGCGCGAGCGUUGUCCGGAAUUAUUGGGCGUAAAGAGCUCGUAGGCGGCUGGUCGCGUCUGUCGUGAAAUCCUCUGGCUUAACUGGGGGCUUGCGGUGGGUACGGGCCGGCUUGAGUGCGGUAGGGGAGACUGGAACUCCUGGUGUAGCGGUGGAAUGCGCAGAUAUCAGGAAGAACACCGGUGGCGAAGGCGGGUCUCUGGGCCGUUACUGACGCUGAGGAGCGAAAGCGUGGGGAGCGAACA
RNAcentral lists this ribosomal RNA (398 nucleotides) under Actinomyces oris. Its description in RNAcentral is "bacterial SSU rRNA". It matches the Rfam family "Bacterial small subunit ribosomal RNA", at positions 381 to 774 of the family's 1533-position model. Lineage: Bacteria; Bacillati; Actinomycetota; Actinomycetes; Actinomycetales; Actinomycetaceae. The record is from RNAcentral.